RNAcentral lists this non-coding RNA (74 nucleotides) under Desulfobulbaceae bacterium. Its description in RNAcentral is "c-di-GMP sequence". It matches the Rfam family "c-di-GMP-I riboswitch aptamer". Rfam says of the family: GEMM was predicted in a large-scale screen for bacterial structured RNA regulatory elements. Genes associated with GEMM are involved in a diverse array of functions, including chemotaxis regulation, signal transduction, secretion and chitin. The record is from RNAcentral. Lineage: Bacteria; Pseudomonadati; Thermodesulfobacteriota; Desulfobulbia; Desulfobulbales; Desulfobulbaceae.
AUAGGACAACGCCAAACCCGCUGCAAGACAGUGACGGAAAGCCACGGGUCUGUAUAGAUAGGCGGGUUGCCGAA